Peromyscus leucopus (white-footed mouse) is the source of this 4031-nucleotide RNA transcript. It is a transcript of the gene named family with sequence similarity 110 member B, with no coding region annotated. The transcript has 4 exons. NCBI's taxonomy places the organism in Eukaryota, Metazoa, Chordata, Mammalia, Rodentia, Cricetidae. The record is from RefSeq and is a predicted model, not a curated record.
GCUGCGCGGGCCACGAGCUCCGGGCCGCUGCAACUGGCUCCAAGUUCCCUCCCUCGCUCUCCCGCGGAGCCUGCCUGAUCCCGCCCCUCGGUGCGGAGGUGCAAACGCGGCGGCGGCCAGCCCAGCCCUCCGUUGCCGCGCGAUCUGGGCCCGUUCGCCCACCGCGGGCCGCUCGGAGCCAGUGGCGAGGACCCGGCGGCCGCUUCAUCUCGGCCUGCAGUGCCCAGCGCGGCCCAAGCUCCUCCUCGCGAUCUUUGGAGCCUGAUCCCUGGCCUGGCUGCCUUCAGGGGCCGGAGCUCGGCUAAGUUGGUCCCGCCCAUCUCCUCCAGUCCUGGUGAUCCUUGAUCUGGUGAAUAUUGAUGGAAUUUUGCCUUCUCCAGAACUUUAAAAAUCCCCAAGCUGGACACUGAGAUCAUCAUUCCUAUUUUUUCUGAGUCUUCAGUUGAAAGCUGCCAGGACUCCAUGGCCUAGAAGGGAAAUAAAGGAUCGUGGUACCGGAAUGGAGGGAGUUAUGUGAGAAUUCUGACUGCUUCUGAGAACACUCCAAGACAACAAGACAAGAGUAUUGUGACCUCAGUUUCUUUAAAACAUGAAAUUGUUCUUGGAAUGUGUUUUUGUGUUCCUCCCAGAUUGUAGCAGAUAGGAGAGAAUUUAGUUCAGAUUACUCAUUAUUGCUUAUUGUGUUAUUCAAUCAAAUGUUUAAAAUAUCCUUAUAUACCUCUAUAGAAAACAUUUUUGGCACAUGCGGCUUGGCCUUAUGAUUGUAUAUACAGCUUAAACUCAUGAGACCUUUACUCAUCUGACCUUUCUUAACCCUUAGAGUAUAAAUUGUCUGGGGCUCUGAAUAAAGCUGGCUAUUGCAUGAGACUUUAGUCCACCUCAUUCAUCUAUUGGCUCCAUGCUCCCAGGUCCCACCCCCUCUAGAGUGAGGAAACAUUUUAUGUCGUAUUGAUAGGUUAUGGUUUGUCCUGAAAGUAAACAAGUAAGGAAAACACAAGUUCUUCUCAACAUUUGGAGAAGAGCAAAGUAAAAGUUUCUGAAAAUCAAGAAGUUAGGGUGCCGUUCUUUGGAUAGUGAAGGUGGCUGUCCGCUGACACCUAAAUGUGCAUUACCCAGACUGUAUGAUUUUCAUAUGAAAUAUUCCCCAAGGGCUUAAUCCCUGGCUGAUGGUGCUGUGGAGGAAGACUAGAUCAUGAGGUGCUAACUUCAUCAAUGGAUCAAUUCAUCCAUGAGUUCACACCCAAUGGAUUAUUAGAAGGUAGAGUCUAAUGGGGUGGACAGAUGUGUUGGUAGUUAAGAACACUUACAGCUUUUCCAGGGGACCCAAGUUUGGUUCCCAGCACCCAUAUCACGUCUCUCACAACUGCCUUUAAUUCCAGUUCCAUGGGAUCUGACAUACUCUCCUGGUCCCUGCAGAUACCCACAUACAUAUAGCAUGCACUCAAAAAGACAGACACACAUAGACAUAAAUCUUGAAAAAAAAAUCCUAAAAGAAGAAGGUAGAGCCUGGUCGGAGGAGGUGAGCCUCUGGGGUGAAAGCUUUCCAUGGACAUUCCUUUUCAGGAGGCUUCCUGGUGGUCGCAGGGCAGUCGACUUUCCUCUCUCCUGCUGUAACACUGUGGUAUUUUGGCCCUGCCAAGGCCUUAGAGCACUUGGCCUGCUGAGCAGGAUGGAACCCUGAGCAAAGACUGACAUUUAUCCUUCUGAGUUGUUUCUGAGGCAUUUUGUCACAAUGAGGAAAAGUUCUGGAACCUUUGAUUCCACCUCUCAUUGUUUAUCUGACUUGCUUUUAUCGCUCUGACCUGUGCAUCAUCAGAGCAAACUAAGCUUGACUACAUUUUAAUAUGUAAUAAUAGGAGGCUCUUUAAACUUUGCAACUGAGAAAGAUUUGAAUAUUCUGAGUUUACUAAUUGUUUUUUAAUUUCUGGAAUACAACCUUAGAUUUUCCUAAACUGAAUUUUGGGAUGUUGUCUUAUUAUCAUGAUUCCCUUUAGCCAUAGGAGGUAGUGUUUUAAUAACUUCUAGUGGAUGCCCAAGAUGGUAGAUGGUAAGGAACCCUGCAUUUACUGUUUUGUCCUAUGCACAUAUCUCUCUGGCAAGGUUUUAACUUAUGUAACAAUAUUGCAGUACACGUUUUCACUUUGAGGCCAUUAUUAAGUAAAAUAAAGGUUUGCUAGAACAUAGGUACUGAACUACCUGGGCAGCUACCUGAUGACUGAGAUGAUGCUGGUAAGUGACUAAUAGGUGACUUGAAAAUACACUGUAGAUAGUUCAAAGGCCUGAUUGAUUCCUGGUAAAAUGACGGCAUGAGAAUUCAUGACCUUCCUCAGAGUCAUAUGUGAUUCAAACCAUUGGGGCGGAUGUAUGUCUGAACUUUUCUAGUUAGUAUUUUUUUGUAAUGGCUGACCACCUGCCACUGAAAUUGUGGGAUGUGAAGCCCUGGGUGGAGUACUGCAGUCUGCCUUUAUUAUGUUUGGUAGAAGACAAUAACCUGAAGGUAGGCUUUUAUUUUCCUGCCUCUUUUCUUGAGACCUUGAUAUAUUGAUAGGUCUUUUAAAUAUCAGUGUAAUAAAGCCAUGGUAUGUUACAAUUUUUUGAACAUAGUCUGUAAUGUAGGUUGAUUAGCCAUCUGCAGAAGUUGCUCAGAUUCUUCCUGUUAUGUAGGAUUCCCUUUCAACACUAAACAGAAAAGUGCCUUUAGUUUUUCCCAGGUGUUUGUACUCAGGUGUGUACUUCUGUCUGCCUUCUUGUUUAUAGUGUAGACUUAAAACUUCUUUGAUUUAUAGGCACAAGCCAGUCAUAAAUGAUGUAGUUGGGUUUUCAUGUGGAAUGUUAUUUGCAAGCUGUUUAUGUUUUUAGUGGAGUCUUUUUCCAGUGAGCACUGUUCCUAGCAGUGUCCUGAUUUGAUUCCCCAGUUCAUUAGAAUUGGAAAGCUGCCAUUUUUUCUCAUUGUUGCCAACGUGAGCAAGCCUGAGUGUCUUCACUGUCCUCUGUUCUCUGCCCAGUGCAGAGUACCUCUGAUCUCAGACUGCUCCAGUUUCUUUAGAGUCCGUCACUAGACAGAUAGGCAUCACUGCAGCACAGCCUAGGCAGGGCCUGACUGGGUUGCAAUUAUUCAGGGUACAUUAGAUCAAAUGAAUUCUAGAUUCUUUUGCUCAGUAGCUCAUCCAAUUUAUGUGUACUAUGGAAAGAUAAUUUUACCCAUUGAGAGAUAUGUUGGCCUUCUCUCACUCGGAGAUGGUUGAUGAUAAAUAAAUGUACCUUAACCUCCUUUUGCUUAAACAGGAAAUCUCUUGGUGAUACUCAUUGUGGAUCCAGUGACAGUUGCCGUCAUCUCUGGCUGUCAGCCCUGGGGCAUUGUUGCUGACUGCUUUCUGCUCAGAACUGUGCCAUUUUAUGCCCCUGAAGUCUUGAAAUGUUUAAAGCAGAGAGGUACCAUAUUUAACACCAAUGGAGAAAAUUGAGGUUGUUUUGCUGUUGCCUGCCUUCAGCAUAUUUUUAAGAAUGUAGUGUAGUGAGGAUAUCUUUUUCUAAGUUUAUUCUUGGCAUAAGUACUCUUUAUCUACUUUAAACAGUUAUGGAAGUAAUAGGUGCAUCAAGUCACACAUAUUACAAGAACCAGCCCCCUGCCCCAUGCCUAUCAGAGGGUGAGGAACUUCAUGCUUAGCUUUUAGGAGUUCCUGAGAACCUGAGGCUGUAUCUACAGGUCUGUGCCCAGCAGCCAUAGCACCUUGAUGAAAAGACUUGACCUUUACCGUUAAGAAGCCCAUAGCCAAUUUGCCAGAGUUGUUCUCCUGUGCCAUAACUCUUUGCAUUGAAUAGGGCCACAACAUGUGUGCAUGUUAUGUCUGAGAAAAGUUACACUAGUGAGCUAGAGCUAGAGAAAGAGGUGGCUCCUUGUUUCACCUUCUGAGUAAUUCUCAUCCAUGGUGUCAUAUGCUUAGAUUGAACCUGGAGUUCAUCUGACCUGGCUGACGGCUGGUACACAGGCACGCAUGCAUGCACUCACUCACUCACGCACGCACGCACGC